UAUGGGGGGGGCAAGCGUUGUUCGGAAUUACUGGGCGUAAAGGGCUCGUAGGCGGCCAACUAAGUCGGAUGUGAAAUCCCCAGGCUUAACCUGGGAACUGCAUCCGAUACUGGAUGGCUUGAAUCCGGGAGAGGGAUGCAGAAUUCCAGGUGUAGCGGUGAAAUGCGUAGAUAUCUGGAGGAAUACCGGUGGCGAAGGCGGCAUCCUGGACCGGCAUUGACGCUGAUGAGCGAAAGCUAGGGGAGCAAACGGG
Molecule: ribosomal RNA, 253 nt
Filed under: uncultured bacterium
Lineage: Bacteria
Description: partial 16S ribosomal RNA
Rfam family: Bacterial small subunit ribosomal RNA
Source: RNAcentral